AAUCAACGCUGGCGGCGUGCCUAACACAUGCAAGUCGAACGAGAAAGUGACUUCGGUCACUGGACAGUGGCGUCCGGGUGAGUAACACGUGGGUAAUCUACCUUCGGGUGGGGAAUAACGUCUCGAAGAGACGCUAAUACCGCAUAAUGCAGCGGCACCUUAUGGUGAAUAGUUGUUAAAGCGGGGAUCGCAAGACCUCGCGCCUGAAGAGGAGCCUGCGGCAGAUAGCUUGUUGGUGAGGUAAGUGGCUCACCAAGGCUGCGAUCUGUAGCUGGUCUGAGAGGACGGCCAGCCACACUGGCACUGACACACGGGCCAGACUCCUACGGGAGGCAGCAGUGGGAAUUUUGGCAAUGGGCGCAAGCCUGACCCAGCAACGCCGCGUGAGGGAGGAAUCCUUCGGGAU
This 406-nucleotide ribosomal RNA is filed under the name uncultured bacterium. RNAcentral describes it as "bacterial SSU rRNA". It matches the Rfam family "Bacterial small subunit ribosomal RNA", at positions 32 to 424 of the family's 1533-position model. The record is from RNAcentral.